CCUACGGGUGGCUGCAGUGGGGAAUAUUGGACAAUGGGCGAAAGCCUGAUCCAGCCAUGCCGCGUGUGUGAAGAAGGCCUUCGGGUUGUAAAGCACUUUCAGUGGGGAAGAAAGCCUUGGGGCUAAUACCCUCGAGGAAGGACAUCACCCACAGAAGAAGCACCGGCUAACUCCGUGCCAGCAGCCGCGGUAAUACGGCGGGUGCGAGCGUUAAUCGGAAUUACUGGGCGUAAAGCGCGCGUAGGCGGUCUGAUAAGCCGGUUGUGAAAGCCCCGGGCUCAACCUGGGAACGGCAUCCGGAACUGUCAGGCUAGAGUGCAGGAGAGGAAGGUAGAAUUCCCGGUGUAGCGGUGAAAUGCGUAGAGAUCGGGAGGAAUACCAGUGGCGAAGGCGGUCUUCUGGACUGACACUGACGCUGAGGUGCGAAAGCGUGGGUAGCAAACAGGAUUAGAUACCCGGGUAGUC
RNAcentral lists this ribosomal RNA (465 nucleotides) under Vreelandella stevensii. Its description in RNAcentral is "partial 16S ribosomal RNA". It matches the Rfam family "Bacterial small subunit ribosomal RNA", at positions 338 to 795 of the family's 1533-position model. Lineage: Bacteria; Pseudomonadati; Pseudomonadota; Gammaproteobacteria; Oceanospirillales; Halomonadaceae. The record is from RNAcentral.